CAAUAAUAAGAGAACUACUUAUUCGCCAGGGUACUACGAGCACUAGCUUAAAACCCAAAGGACUUGGCGGUGCUUUAGACCCACCUAGAGGAGCCUGUUCUAGAACCGAUAACCCCCGUUCAACCUCACCCUUUCUUGUUAUCUCCGCCUAUAUACCGCCGUCGUCAGCUUACCCUGUAAAGGACCCAAAGUAAGCAAUAUUGGCACAACCCAAAACGUCAGGUCGAGGUGUAGCGUAUGCAAGGGGAAGAAAUGGGCUACAUUCGCUGACACAGCGUAUUAAACGAAUUAGCCCACUGAAACGUGGGUAUGAAGGAGGAUUUAGAAGUAAGAGGGAAAUAGAGCGUCC
This 349-nucleotide ribosomal RNA is filed under the name Pegasus volitans (longtail seamoth). Its description in RNAcentral is "partial 12S ribosomal RNA". It matches the Rfam family "Bacterial small subunit ribosomal RNA", at positions 801 to 1359 of the family's 1533-position model. Lineage: Eukaryota; Metazoa; Chordata; Actinopteri; Syngnathiformes; Pegasidae. The record is from RNAcentral.